This 7855-nucleotide long non-coding RNA is filed under the name Populus tremula. Its description in RNAcentral is "long non-coding RNA (PTRE_LNC001807)". Lineage: Eukaryota; Viridiplantae; Streptophyta; Magnoliopsida; Malpighiales; Salicaceae. The record is from RNAcentral.
UUCUCUGGAGCCACGAGAGCGUUUAUGGGGCAUCCAGGAAAGUUUGUUGGCGAUGGCCAGAAGAGGUUUAGGAGAUCCCCGGAAUCUCUGACUUCACCACCGGAGUGGAUAACCUUCCCAUCUUCUGUAGCUUUCCGAGGCUAUGAGGCAAAAAACAUGUAUCCUGCGAUGUAUGGGGAGAAUGCCUCAGGCAUAAGAGAUGCCGAACGGGUAGCAAAGAUUGUAAGUGGAUGUCAAGCUAUAGCUGUCCGUAGCUGCAUUGAAUUUGAAGGUGAGUACAUAGAUGUAUACCAGAAACUUGUGAGCAAGCAGGUAAUUCCAAUAGGCUUGCUCCCUCCAGAAAAACCAGAGAAAAGAGAAAUAACUGAUGGGACAUGGAACACGAUCUUCGAGUGGCUUGACAAUCAAGAACACGAAUCCGUGGUAUUUGUUGGAUUUGGCAGUGAGUGUAAAUUGACCAAAGACCAAGUUUAUGAGAUAGCUUAUGGGCUGGAGCUAUCAAAAUUGCCAUAUCUCUGGGCACUUAGGAAACCCACUUGGGCAGCAACAGAUCUCGAUGCUCUACCCCCAGAAUUCAAUAACAAGACUUCCGAGAAAGGGAUUGUCUCCAUAGGAUGGGCACCACAACUAGAACUUCUAUCGCAUCCAUCAAUAGGGGGAUCAUUGUUUCACUCCGGGUGGGGUUCCGUAAUAGAAACUCUGCAGUAUGGACUUUGUUUAAUUGUUUUGCCAUUUAUUGCAGAUCAAGGGCUGAAUGCCAGGCUACUUGUGGAGAAGGGCUUGGCUGUCGAGGUAGACAGGAAGGAAGAUGGAUCAUUUACCAGAGAUGAUAUUGCCAAGUCUCUGAGACUAGCUAUGGCCUCGGAGGAAGGAAGUCAGCUGAAGACCCGAGCAAAAGAUGCCGCUAACAUGUUCCAGAAUAGGAAGCUGCAUCAGGACUACAUCAAUAGGUUUGUGAAGUAUCUGAAGGAUGGAGUUUCUUGAGACUGUCGAAACGUAUCCCGAUUGUCCGAUCUCUCACUGUCUUUAUCCUCAUCUUGGUCGAGGAUAAAUAUUUGGGCAACUAUGAUAAAUAAUUGUGUCUUGUUUCGGGAAUAAAGUCUUCAUUUGAUUGUGAGAAGUAUUUGUUUUUAGAGUUAAAAAAAAUAUUCAUGAAGUAAGAAAACCUCUCACUAUUAAAAUAUUUGGAAUAAAAUUGUUGAUAUCUUUAUUAUUGAGAACCUUUUCAAAGUGCCAUAAAAAGAUUUUUAAAAAUUAUUAUUUUUUAAUUACAUAACUUAAACGUGUUAGACACAUGCCCAUUAUGAUCUCAUCUCAUGGCUAGGUUAUUUUUCAAUAAUUAUGAAUAUUAGAUUGAUAUAUUAUUAAUUAUUGCAUUUAAAAAUAAUUUUUUUUAAAAAAAUAUUAAAACUUGUUGCAUUAAAGUAAAUUAUAUAACUAGUUUUUAUAAGAUGCAUUAAGAAAAAAAGAAAGAAAAACAAUAAUUACUUAUUGAAAAUAAAGGAAUGAAUUGAAAGCUCCAUGAUUGAAAUAAAAAUAACCCCAAAAUGAUUUUUAAUAAGUGGCUCUUCGAACUUCACCAUAAGUUGAUAAAUCUGCCAUCGUCUUCCAUAUCUUAUUUAGAGAGAAUGCUUCAGUUUUAAGAGAUUUCCAAACGAUUUGCCAAGAUCAUCAGUGGAUGUCGAGCUAUAGUUGUCCGUAGCUGCUUUGAAUUAGAAGGUGACUACUUGAAGAUAUACCAGAAAAUGUUUGGCAAGCAAGUGAUUCCACUAGUUAUUCUUCCUUCGAAAAAAAUAAAAAAAGUGACAAGAAAUAACUGAUGGGGAAUGGAACAAGAUCUUCAAAUGGCUUGACAAGAUUGACCAAAGAUCAAGUCUCUGAGAUAGCUUAUAGGGUGGAUGUUGGGUUUGCGAGAGAAUAUAUAUACAGUAAAAAUAAAAUUUUUAAUUUUUUUUAAAAGUUGCAAGAAUUAUGUUAGAAAAAUCUAGAAUCGUUUAAGGUUUAUAUAAAAAUUACUUGAAGAUCAUAUAUUUUUUUUAGUUUUGAAUAAUUAUUUCAAGACUGGAUUAUCACAAAUCACAAGCCGUCUAAGUAUCCAACAUUUAAUUGCAAUCUAUACAAAUCGCAAAUGAGAAAUAUCUUAAACUCUUUUAGAAAAUAGGAACUACUAUACUUUUGAGUGCUAUCUUUUUUUUUUUUUUAAGGUGUUUCUACAACUAACAUAGUUUUCUCUGUAAAAUACAAAAAAAUAAGAGGCAUGACAUUUUAUUUUUAGAAAAACCUGAAAAUCUUAUAAAUAAUAAAAUAUCAAUUUUUCCCUUAAAUAAUAUCACAUAUAUUAUUUCAUGAUAAUUUUAGAAGUUUAUUUAAUCAAGUUCCUAUUUGAUUUUUUAGAGGUCUACAAUUGUAAUCCCUUUUAUUAAUUACAUUAUAGUCUUUAAUUUCUAAAACUUAUUCACAAUCAAGUCAUACUAGAUUAAUUUUCUCAUUUUAAUUUCUGAUCAAUAGUUCUUACGUAUAUAACCCAUUAAGUUCCCUAAUAAGUUAGCCCAAAUAUAAAUUUUAAAUAAAAUAAGACUAAAUAAAUUAAACAAUUUAAUUUAUUAUCAAUUCAAUAAUUGAUGAAUUGAUAUUUGAAGAUGAAUUACAAUGUGAUCCUUUAAAUAUUAAAAAACUCAUAAGUGGUUUAACUUAACUAUUCAAUGAUUAGUUUCUCAUUGUAAUUAUUAUCCCUUUAUCAAAAAUAUUUUAAUUUGGACAUUAUAACAUGAAAUAUGUCUUAUUUAUUAAAUUAUUUUUGUUCUCAUCACUAUAAUCUUUGUUUCUUUGAAUAAGAUCUGAAACUCUUUUCAAAUCUUAUUCCAUCUUGGCCAAGAAUUUCACAAUUAAUAAUAUUUAAGAAAAGAUGAAACAUUUUUUCUAAUUCACCUAUGUUGAUGAAUCCUCUCUAGAUCACUCAAAUAUCUUUAUAUAGUUUAUAGUAUAUCCAAUACUUACUUAUUUAUUACCCUGAUUAUGAUAAUAUAUAGUUAGGAUCAAAGCAUAACAUUCUUUAUAUAAAGUAACUUAGUGAUAUCAAGUUUAAGGAUUAAUUACACAACUGUCACUUCAGCCUUUUCAUAGAUAUAAAUAAUCUCUUCAUAUGAAAUUCUCAUGAGGGUUAGUUCAGUAUACAUGUUAUCCAAGAAGCACCUAUAUAUUAGUUUUAGGUAUCCCUCAGACCUUAGCUUAUGAGAGCAAUUGUUUUUUUUCAUAAAAAAAGAAACAUAAUAUGUAUCAGUUCCAACAACUCUAAUUAAUAUUUAUUAUUAAUAGAAUAUUGAUCACAAACAUUUAUAAACCAUGCUUUAAUGCAUUUGAAAUCUCAUAAUUAUAAUAAUUUUAUAAUUUUCUUUACUUAUAAAAUAUAUCUGGUAUCCAAGAAAAGGAUUGUUGUCAUAAGUGGGCACCAGAACUGAAAAUUCUAGCAUAUCUAUUAAUAGGGGGAUUAGUAAACCAUGUUGGAUGGAGAUAUGUGAUAAAAACUCUGCAUCAUGAGCAUUGUUUGAUUGUUUUGCCAUUAGUGUUAUACUAAGGAAUAAAUGUCACGUUCUUGGUGGAAAAAGACUUGGUUAUUAAGGUAGGCAUGAAGGAGGAUAGUUCAUUUACUAGACAUGAUAUGACAAAGUCUUUGAGAAUAGUUAUGCUUUUAGAGGAAGAAAAUCAAUUAAGGCUUUUAUUAUAAUUGUGAUUCUGAAUAGCGGUUACGUAAUACAACCGUGAUUUAGAAUUGCAGUUAUGACAAGUAGAUAAUUCCCCCACAUGUUCUCUAUAGCUGCCACUCAUGCAAAGAGAAAAACCCCAAGAAUUGCAAAACCCUUUGCCUAAACCAACCUCUGAUCCUUCAUCAAAAUAUCAUAAUCAUCUUCCCCUUGUCUCCACAACUCUUUCUAUUGAUUUUUUGUUGCAAACCACUGGCCUAGACAACCUCCCCACCGCCUAGACAUAAAAAAAAAUCAAGGUAUAACAACUGCACUGUCUCUUAGUUUUAUGGGUUUCAUUAUUAAAUUGAUGAAUUUUGAGUUUUGAUGUAUGACUAUUUGUGUAGUGUUUAAUAAUUAGGUAUUUUGUUGAUGUUGAGAUAAUCUUGGAUCUUGAGUGUUGCAAUUAUGUAUUUUUAAUACAAUUAAUGUUGUUUAUUGAAUCAAAUAGGUUUGAAUGAGAGAAAUUAGAUUUUAAAUUGAUUAUUGUGUUGAUUGCCAUAUUUAAUAUAAUUGUUUGAAUUGGGAUAUAAAUAUUGUUUGAAUUGAUGCAAAUAGAUAGAUAAUUGGUUUUUUAAUGUUAUUAAUAAAAUUAUGGUCAAAAUCAUAGCAACCAGAGUCUGUUAAAUUUUGAUAAAAAUCAUCAUAACCGGAGAUUUUGUUCAAUUGAGAUCAUUUAGUUUUUAAUUGGUGCAAUUAUAUAUGUUUUUAUUGAUAUUAUUAAGGUUAAAGUAAUAUCAAUUAAAGUUUGCAUUGAAUUGUGAGAUAAUUUGAUUUUAAUGAAAUAAGUAUUCUUAUUUUACAUAAUAUGCCUUCAAACUUCUUUAUGUUAUAUUAUUGUAGUGGUACUAUUGUUCCUGGUACGAAUAAUAAUGUCAUUUAUAUUGAUAGAAGUCCUAUAUUCUUGAAUGCUACUAGAGAUAUGCCAUUUGAAGAUAUUGAAAUAGUUAUACAUCGAAAAACAUAGGUUGAAUUAUAAUAAUAUUAAAAUAAAUGUCACUUGGAGAUCUUUUUUUGGAGAACAUUAAUAUUUUUGAAUCUAAUUGCGUUGUGAUAUGAAAUUUAGAAAUAUGAUGAAAUUAUUCAUCCAAAAUGAAAUGAACACGAUGGAGUUGUAUGAGCUGGUACCUAAGCAUAAUAUGCCGAAUCAUGCACCAAACCCAAUGCAAGUUUCUCCACGCAAGGAGAUGAAGUAUUAGCCAUAUAUACAUCAGAUUCAGAAUGCUAUAAGUAUUUUUUUUACUUUUUAUAGGCGUGGACAAAAUCAUUGCAUUUUAUUUUUGGAUUAAUAAUUUCUAUUUACUUCAUAUUAGGUUGAACAAUUGUUACAUGAUAGUUGACGUGUUGUGACCGAUCUUCGUAAUCUCGAAAAUGAUGAUGGACUAUUUUAUUAUUAUGUAUCUUUUUGGUUUGAUACAUGUUGUAUUACACUUGAUUUGUUAUGAGAGACAUUGAUUUUAGAUUAUGUUGUUUUAGAGGAUGAUAUCACAGAGACAAGUGAAAGUUAUGCUAGUGAAGUCGACCCAUCCACUUAUUAUCGCAAAAACCAUAGAUAGGCUCAGAUCCUAGAUGAUGUUGUUUUAGAAGAUGAUACCACAUAGGCAAGUGAAAGUUAUGCUAUUGAUGAAGUCGACCCAUCCACUCAUUGUCGCAAAAAACAUAAAUAGACUUAGAUGUAUUGUUAUAUUGUGUUAUUUUUUUAGUUAAUAGUUAUUUUUAUUUGUAUUACUUAUGUAAUAUUGUUUUAGCUUAUUAUUACGUUGAUUUUAAUACUGUCUUGUAUAUUAUACAUUUUCAUACUUAAUUUAGAUAAACAUGAUUUAAAAUUGUUAAUUAACAGGUGAACACGUGAAUAUUAAAAUUUCAAAUCAUUCAUUUACAAGUUAAAAAAUAAACAUUGUUAUGUUUUGUUAUUGCCAUUAUCAAUUAUCUUUAUGAUUAAUAAAUAAAAACAAUGUUUAAAAAUAUCAUGUAUUAAUUUGAGAUUAUAAUUAAUUAAUAAAAUUGAUAUUAAAAUAUCGCACUCAUAAUUAUAUGUUUGAGGUUUGAUAAUUUAUGGUUUUAUUCAGGAUUUAGUGUGGUGAUUUAAGUUUUGUUUUUAUGUAAAAUUUAAGAUUAAAUUUAUGUUAAAAUUGUGUUGGGAUGACACAAUCUUUAUUUAUAUUAGCGGUUUGUGCAUAAAAUAACUAUUAUUGGUAAUAAUAGUUUUUUUUAAUUAUGACACUAUUAACGAUAACGAUUGUUUAAUAUAACUACUAUUCUUAUUAACAAUUUAUUAACAAAACCAUGAUUUUUAUUAUUGAUCAUGUAAAAUGUAAAAUAUAUAUUUUCCAAAUAAUUUUUAUAUGCUGCACUGUACUUUCAGAAAGAUCCCAAUAAUUAAAAAAAAAACCCUGGCUGAUGCACGUCGAUCCUAGUUUAAAUAUUCACAGCCUGUGUAUGCAAGAAAAAAAGGAAAAUGAAAAGUAAACAAUUUUGUCACAUAAUUUUUUUAUAUAUAUAAUUAUGAAUAUCUGAAACAGUUUAUGGAUAUUUUAGAAUUUUAAAAUUAAUAAUUAAAUAAAUUUGUAAUAAAUUUAAAAUUUAUAAUAUUUAAACUAAAAACUUAUAAAAAAAACAAAUCCUAACCUGACGAACUGCACUACAAUCUCAUAAUAUUUUCGCAUAAACUUUUGAUAUUAAGAAAAGCACGCUCUCCGUAUAAGCAAUUAUCUCAUCAAUGACUCAUCCUUUUAAUGGUUAUCUUGAACAGGGCCAUCUUUAGGUUAGACAAAAAAUAAAAUAAAAUAAUUCAUAGUAUUAUUAUAUAUUAAUGGAACUGUUAUCUUAAUUAAUUUAUUUAUUCUCGAUUGGAAAAAAGGAUCAUUUGAGAAGGAUAUUCGCUAAAUUAAUCAAGUUUAGUCGUACUGUCCUGCUUAAACUAAAUACAAGCAUUCCAUCAACUAAUUAGUGGGCAUGAUGGCAGCCAUUUCAUUUUGCAUUGGUUGAGAUUUGAAAGUUGCCUUCUUGAUUAAUCAAACUUGAGGUUUGACAGCCACAUAAAUGCAUUUAGCCUCGUUCGGAAUUGUGCUUUAUAUUAAUUUAAAAUAAAAAAAAUUAAAUUUUUUUAAAAGUAUUUUCUUACCGCACCAAACAUGCCUAAUUUCUGGUAUUAAAUUUUAUAUAAAAACCAUCUUUUCCAACACAGAGUCACAGACAGCCCGCAAAGCAGGUUGAGUUGGUCAUAAAGUCAAAAGCUGGAAAUAUCUGAAAAUGAUUUUUGUAUUAAACUACUGGAUUGUCCAAAAAAGGUGACACGGAGUGCAAACUGCAAAGACCUUUGAAAAAAAAGGAGUAGGUGGCAACAAUAAUUCUAAAACUUUGGGAUUCGAUAAGUGGACAGCCUCCUUUAAAUUUCUUAAACAUUUGUGGCACUCUCGGAAUCAGGAUAGACCUUUUAUUACUUUCAUACAGAUCAUUUCAGUAUUCACAUAGUUAUGGCGAGUGAUUUGCAUAUAGUAAUAUUUCCAUGGUCGGCCUUUGGUCACAUAUUGCCAUUUUUUCAUUUCUCCAAAGCUUUAGCCGAAGCUGGAGUUCAUGUCUCCUUUGUAUCAACUCCCAGGAAUAUACAGCGACUACCUGCAAUAUCACCAACCUUAGCACCGCUAAUAAACUUAGUGGAGCUUCCUUUUCCAGCUUUGGACGUUAAGUAUGGCUUGCCAGAAGGAGCUGAGGCAACAGUAGACAUUCCUGCUGAGAAAAUCCAAUACUUGAAGAUCGCCUAUGAUCUCUUACAACACCCCUUCAAGCAGUUUGUCGCUGAGAAGUCCCCGAAUUGGAUGAUUGUUGAUUUUUGUUCUCACUGGGCUGUUGACAUUGCAAAAGAAUAUGGUAUCCCGCUAAUAUACUUGUCGAUUUUCUCUGGAGCCAUGGGAGCGUUUAUGGGGCAUCCAGGAAAUUUUGUUGGCGAUGGCCAGAAGAGGUUUAGGGGAUCCCCGGAAUCUCUGACUUCACCACCGGAGUGGAUAACCUUCCCAUCGUCUGUAGCUUUCCGAGGCUAUGAGGCAAAAAACAUGUAUCCUGCGAUGUUUGGGGAGAAUGCCUCAGGCAUAAGAGAUGGCGAACGGGUAGCAAAG